GAAUCUUGGACAAUGGGGGCAACCCUGAUCCAGCCAUGCCGCGUGAGCGAUGAAGGCCUUGGGGUUGUAAAGCUCUUUCACCCGUGAAGAUAAUGACGGUAGCGGGAGAAGAAGCCCCGGCUAACUCCGUGCCAGCAGCCGCGGUAAUACGGAGGGGGCUAGCGUGGUUCGGAAUUACUGGGCGUAAAGGGCGCGUAGGCGGGCAUUCAAGUCGGGGGUGAAAUCCCGGGGCUCAACCCCGGAACUGCCUCCGAUACUGGAUGCCUGGAGGACGGAAGAGGCGAGUGGAAUGCCGAGUGUAGAGGUGAAAUUCGUAGAUAUUCGGCGGAACACCAGUGGCGAAGGCGGCUCGCUGGUCCGUUUCUGACGCUGAGGCGCGAAAGCGUGGGGAGCAAACAGG
RNAcentral lists this ribosomal RNA (400 nucleotides) under uncultured bacterium. RNAcentral describes it as "bacterial SSU rRNA". It matches the Rfam family "Bacterial small subunit ribosomal RNA", at positions 359 to 776 of the family's 1533-position model. The record is from RNAcentral.